This 70-nucleotide transfer RNA is filed under the name Bos taurus (domestic cattle). It matches the Rfam family "tRNA". From Rfam's summary of the family: Transfer RNA (tRNA) molecules are approximately 80 nucleotides in length. Their secondary structure includes four short double-helical elements and three loops (D, anti-codon, and T loops). Further hydrogen bonds mediate the characteristic L-shaped molecular structure. tRNAs have two regions of fundamental functional importance: the anti-codon, which is responsible for specific mRNA codon recognition, and the 3' end, to which the tRNAs corresponding amino acid is attached (by aminoacyl-tRNA synthetases). tRNAs cope with the degeneracy of the genetic code in two manners: having more than one tRNA (with a specific anti-codon) for a particular amino acid; and 'wobble' base-pairing, i.e. permitting non-standard base-pairing at the 3rd anti-codon position. The record is from Rfam by way of RNAcentral. RNAcentral also lists the same sequence under 1 other name. Lineage: Eukaryota; Metazoa; Chordata; Mammalia; Artiodactyla; Bovidae.
CCUCGUAGCUCAGUGGUUAAAGAGUCUGCCUGCAAUGCAGGAGACCCAGGUUUGAUUCCUGGGUCGAGAA